AGACCGGUGUUUGUCCUAAGUCGGAACUUGAUUGGGCUGAGAAAUCACAUUGUGACUAUUCCACGACUUGAACAAGGGGUAGAAAUCGCAGGCACCGCGAAAUAGAAACUUCCUAGGACCAAGAAGCCAACGACGCCCGAAACCGUGGGGUCCUGUCACAGAAACCCCAGCAGCGCAGCCACCGGACUGGGUUCUGGAGGCCGAGCCGCAGUCCGUGCGGCGGCGCUGGGAAGAGAAGGCGCCCCGGCAGCUCCCCUGCCACCGGCCCCGAGGAGCGGCUGGCUCCCCCAGCCCAGCGCCGCCGCCGCCCGGUAACUCCAGGCGCAACUGGGCGCAACUGGGGCAGCUGCGACACCGAAUCCCUCACAUCUGCAACCUGGGUGCUGCGGCCACUGAGAAAAUGGAGGCGCAGACCAACGAGCGGUGCCGCGACCGAGAGACCUCGGCUGGCGAAAUGGUGGUGCCGGGAGCCUGCGAGUGACGCCAGCCGGCGGGGUUGUCAAGGACAACAUUCGUUUUGACGCAGCCAAUGGCGCCGUCACCAAGAAACCAUCGACUCUGAGAAAAAAGAGAGGUUCGGCCACCGAGAAACUCCGUACGACAAGUGCUGUGGCAGAAAAACCGCCUACUCCGCGCCACAGGCAAAACAGCCAAUGGAAACCCCAGGUGCUGCGACCGUGACACCGGCACUAGAGGGUCUCGGAUGGAGAAAGCGGCGCACGGAGACCAGGAAACUAUGUGUAGCACAACUAGCAGAAAACCGUCUGGUCGGCCAUCCGGGAGAAAGCGCGGAUCAGAAACAAGCGACUUCGAUGCAGGGAACCGCGCAGCCACUGAAGAAAGUGACCCACGUGGCAGUGGUGCCAGCGAAACACUGCAGUUUGGACGGCAGCUGUGGGGAUGCCACAGAGAAACAUGCACUGCCACUGAAGUACAUCCAGCUCCGCGGAGCUAGUGUUCAUAUGAUCAAGAAACCGCCAGUUGGGCUCUGCUAGAAACUUUUAGUCCUCCCUUAACGGCUAUCCUACCCACAACAGACAAUGCCUUUACCCAGCACCUAGCGGUGCUGAGACCCGCCUGGGCCAGCACAGAGCGCAGAGCAGUACGGGUACGGAGAAACGCCGGACUCAGUGAAACCAGCCUUGCCUCCAGCGGAUUCCCCGGCUUCGCCGGACGCCACAGGCAGAGUGCCGCGGGGAAACCUCUGGCUCCCUAAACCGAUUAGAUUGUGGGAGUGGGGGGGACACUCACAAGUUGUGUGGAAGGGAACCAGCGGCAAUGGGACCCGGCGAGCACUUGCCCGCAGCAAAUGCCUGCGCUGCUGCAAAAAAAACAACUUUUGGCGCAAAGAAUGUUGCGGCCAGAGAGCAUCCGCUGUCGCUGACAAAGGAGUAGCAAUGGCAAUGAGAAACCGCCGGCGCCACGGCCGACCGCGGCGGCUCACGCCUAUGAUCCUUGCAGUUUGGGAGGCCGAGGUGGGCGCAUUACUUGAGAUCAGGAGACUAGCCUGGCCAACAAGGUGAAACCCCAUCUCUACUAAAAUACAAAAGAUUAGCCGGUUGUGGUGGCAGGCACCUGUAAUCCCAGCUACUCCGGAGGCUGAGGCAGAAGAAUCGAUUGAACUCAGGAGGCAGAGGUUGCAGUGAGCCAAGAUCGCGCCACUGCACUCCAGCCUGGGAGACAGAGUGAGCUCCGUCUCAAAAAAAAGAAAGAAACCGCUGGCGCCGGGAAAGGAGCCGUGCAGCGAUGGACCCAUGGUGCGCUCCGUGCUACCAAAGUGCUGUGGCCUCUACCCACUCUCGAUUCCCAAGGCUGUUUUUCGGGCUUAGGGAAGUCUGUUAUAUUUUUAUUUCUGCUUCUUUCUUUUCUUUCUUUUAUUUCUUUCUUUCUUUUUCUUUCUUUCAUUCUUUCUUUUUCUUUUUCUUUCUUCUUUCCUUUCUUUCUCUCUUUCCUUUUUUUCUUUUUCUCUUUAUUUCUUUUUUCUUUAUUUUUUUUUUUAACAGUAUCUUGCUCUGUUGCCCAGGCUGGUGCAGUGGCGUGAUCACUGCUCAGUGCAGCCUCGCCUUCUUGGGCUCCAGCUAUCCUCCCGCCUCAGCCUGUGGAGCAGCUGGGACCACAGGUGCGCGACACCACACCCGACUAAUUUUUUGUAGUUUUUGUAGGGUCUCGUUUUGUUGCCUAGGCUGUUCUCGAACUCCUGAGCUCAAGCAGUCCGUCCGCCUGGGCGGACUAAUAUCACAAAGCGCUAGAAUCACAGGCAUGAGCCACCGUGCUGGGAGGGAAGUCUGUAUUGUUGCUGCGUUCAACCCAGUGCAUAGUGCAUGAGAAGAGGAGGCAGUUUAGGGGCCCAGAACCAAGCGGAUGGGGCUGGUUGCAGGAACAAAGUAAAAACCAUUCUGAUUGCCAACAGCUGCCUACGCAGGAAACACCCUUCCAACCUCCGUGGCGGGGCUCUCCCAGGCCACCCCUCGGUCCCAGAGUCUCCUCCCCGUCCAGAGCUCUCAGGAUCCUACAGAAGGGGCGGACAACUCUUCCCUUCCAAACUGGAAAGUCGGCCUAGGUUUCCGAGGAUAAUGAAAGGCACAGCGUUUUUUGACCUCGACUUCAGGCCUGACCCCCCACUCUCUCGGUCCCGUACCUCUUCUGCGGGAUGUAACUCUGUGGGAACCGCUCCUUUAUUCUGAUGAUUAACUGUCUGAUAUCCUUGAUAUUUGGGGAUAGUAGAUGAAAGAGAGCAGGAGAGAAAAAUGGACGGCAAGACUCCAGCUCAGAAGGUGGGAAUGAUGGCAAAAGUCCGCUACCUCUCCAAGCCCAAUAAACAUCUCAAACUGCUCUACACUUUUCUGUACCCUUGAUCUGUGAAAUGGAUCACUGACGUUUUCUGUCUUUCGGGAAAUGCAAAGCAGGCGAAUUUUCAAGCGCUUGAAUUCCCUCUUUUUCCUACUUUUCAGUCAGAGUGGAGCUAAAAACUCCUUCCCCAUAGGAAAUAUGGAACUGCCUCUGCCCGGAAGAAAAACGUCCCUUUUCCCUAAGCUUUCACAUUUCCCGAAAAAUCUACACAUCCGCAUGAAAUCCUCACAAGAGACCUACAGACCCUACCGGGAGCGUUCCUGUCACUACAAAAAAUUUAAAAAUUAGCCGGAUGCGGUCGCGGGUGCCUGUAGUCCCAGGUACCAGGGAGGCUGAGGUGGGAGGAUCUCUUGAGCCCAGGAGGUCCAGGAUGCAGUUAACGAUGAUCCUAAGACCACGAGGCAAUUGGAGGAUCCUCAAAUACCAGGGAGAAACUAGCUAGCAGACAUAGUAUGGUGGGAGGGGAAGAUCAAGGCAAAUGCCUUGGGAGUGGGUGAGAAUUGCGACUUCAUAUUGGAUCUCCUGACCUGUGAAGGCCCUUUUCUAGGCUCCUCUGGACCUGUCCUCUGCCCAGGUUCAACCAGAAAAGGAUGGAGUUUGUUGCAUGGUAUCAUCAGGGUGAGGUUGGGAGAUGAUGCGGGAACGCUCAUCCCUGGUCUUAGGAACGGGAGAACAAAGGAAAAAUGGCAUCAUUUCCACCUAAAAAGUUACAAGCACUUCACCAGAAGGAACAGCCCAGGCGGAGCCUUUGUAAAAGAAAAGCCCCACCCACUGCUUCGCACUCCUCAUUUCCACCCAGCAGAGCAUUUUAGUGACAAAGCUGAGCGGGAGCCAGAGUUCACUCCUGUAAUCCCAGCACUUUGGGAGGCCCAGGCGGGAGGAUCACUUUAACCCACGCGUUCAGGACCAUCCGAAGCACAUAGCAAGACCGUGCCACUACAAAAAAUUUAAAAAAUUAGCGGGAUGCAGUCGCGGGUGCCUGUAGUCCCAGCUACCAAGGAGGCUGACGUGGGAGGAUCUCUUGAGCCCAGGAGGUCCAGGCUGCAGUGAACGAUGAUCCUUCACGGCACCACUGCACUCCAGCCUGGGUGACAGACUGAGACUUUGUCUCAAAAAAUAAAAUGAAAUAAAAAUACAGCCGAGAUUAGGAACUCUUUAAGAAGGGGUCACCUGAGACAUUAUUAGUAUACCAUUAACAGGAGAAAAUGCUGCAAAUUAAAGUAUCAUAAUGGUGAGUAAGAAUUGUCACUUCCUGACAGGACCAGGAACAUCAGGAUAUUUGGAGAAUCUUAACAAAAGGAGAAUUCAUCCAAAUCUCUAGGUAUUGCAGGCAAAGUAUGAUAGCAAGAUCCUGGUUUGGUUUCCUAGCAUCUGGACGCUUUUAAAAGUCUAAUUUGAGAUUCCUUAUGAAAAUGUCCAGGAUUAAUGUCACCAGCCAGGUUCCUAACCUAUGUGGAACACCCAGGGCCAGAAGAGUCUAAAAUUGCAAAAGCUCGUGGCUCCUGAGUCCAAGAGUUCCUGGUUUUCCUGGACACAAGCGAUAGCGCAGCACUUUCUUCCCCAUGUGCCAGAGGCCUAGGGUUCUGCAGAAGAGGCCCCAAGGCCCCAGACGCUGCAAGCCCUAAGCUCAGUAUAUUCUAGGCCCUGUCCUCUCACUUUCUAUUUCUUGUGUGGCCCCCAAACUUGUGCCAGCUAUCCUGGAACAGCCAAGAAUUCAACUGUGACCUGCUUCCUCCCUCAACCUCUUCUCCCCAACCUCCCCACCACACUUCUUCUUUGGGAAGAUUUGUAAAAAUUAAGGUUAUUAUAUCCAUGUAACUUUCUGUAUUUCUUUUAAACUCCUUGUGCUACUAAGUCACACAGGUUUGACUCCUGGAUCUAAAAAAGUCACCAACUCUGGCUAAAUCUUAAACAUUGACAGCAAUUGAAGCCUCAUCUUCAGACCUAGGAGAAGAUGAAAAUCAGAAUAAGCUGCAGUCAUAAGACAUGGGUCCAGAAAUUAAAACUAUUCAACCCCUCUAGUCCCAGGGACUAUUGCAGAAGAAGUGGGUGUGUGAGCUUGUAAGGAUCCAUUUUAAGAGAUAAAAUUAAUUCAGAGUUUCUCUAUAAAUUAAACAGUUGCAUUUGUUGUUGUUUUGAGACAGUCCAGCUAUGUCAUCUGGGCUGGAGUGCAGUGGCAUUAUCCUGGCUCACUGCAACCUCUGCCUGGCAAGAUUCCUGGCACCUCAGCCUCCCAAGUAGCAGGGACUACAGGGGUGCACCACCAUGCCUGGCUAAUUUUUGUAUUUUUAUAGAGACAAGGUUUCACCAUGUUGCCCAAGCUGGUCUCAAACUCCUGAACUCAAGAUAUCCGCCUGCCUAGGCCUUCCAAAGUGCUGAUUUUACAGCUAUGAGCCACCGUGGCCAGCCUAUAAAUUAAACAUUAAUGUCAAAGGAACACUGAUGCAAGACAAGCAUGUGGGUCCCUGUGUCAGAUUAACAAUGUUUUCUUGGAGCAUUAACACAUUCCUUACUUAAAAAUUAUGAAAGGUUAUGAGAAGGUUUACAAAAAUUAUAUCUUACACUCAAGAUUAUUAAAAUUUAAUAGAUUUGUCUGUAAAUUUAAUUGACUUCAUCCUGUCUUUAUUAGGUUUUAUUGUUUGGGAAAGUAAGUCUCAAAGAGUAAAAGUUUUUGCCUUUUUGUUUUUAAAAUAUUUGAGUUACCACUUUGACUAAAUGAAUGACUUAUUUUACAAUGACCUGUGAUGCUAUUUUGUGAUAUUGUGUUUUCAACCUUUGAUGUUUGACAAACUUUCCAAAAUCUAAAUCUAAAUUCAGGGCUUUGGUCUCACUAAUUUUUUUGACAUUACAUCCCCUGAAAUCCAAAGAGACAUAUUUGGCUUACUUGGUAUAAUAAAAUCUUCGUUAUCAAAUAUGAAAUGAUGUGUAAACUUUUUUGGCUUGUAUUUAUAUAAAUGUGUUAUUAGUAUGUGUUCCAAAAUUGUAUGAGAUUCUUGUGAUUCUGAUAUGUCUUAGAAUAUGUUAUCAGAACUAAUUAUGAUUAUUAUAUUAAAUUGUUAUGUGCCGUAGAUACAACCAAAUUUCCUUGUCAAUUGUGUCUUUAACCAUGGCUGUUCUAAUUCUUUUGUCAUCCACAAUCAUUGUUUUACUUUGAUCCUUUCUUAAGGUGGUUUAUAAUCAGUUAUAGAGCUCUGAGGACUACUCUUUCUUUUUCUUUCACUUUUAUUUUUAAUGAGAUGGGUUCUCGGUCUGUCACCCGGUCUGCAGUGGGGUGGCAUCACUGUUCACUUCAGCCUCAGUCUCCUAGGCUCAAACAAUCCUCCCACCUCAGCCUCCCAAGUAGCUGAGACUACAGGUGCACACCACACACCCAGCUAAUUUUUAAAAUUUUUGCAGAGAUGGAAUCUCCCUAUGUUACCCAGGCUGGUUUCAAACUCCUGAGUUCAAGCAAUCCUGCCACCUCAGCCUCUCAAAGUGCUGGGAUUACAGGCAUGAGCCACCACACCCGGCCUUUUAAUACAUUGUCUCUUCAUUAACAGAUAGUAAGUGUCUAUAUUGUGCUACAAAGUGAUCAAAGUUCCAGACAUAAGUGAUCAACAAGCAGAAAUGGACUUGGCCAUAAAGUGUUUGACACAAUCAGGGGCUGAAAAAAAAUAAAGCAGGAAGCAUGACAACAAAUAAAUAAGACAGUGUUUAUGUGAUAAAUGCUAUCAAGAAACCUAACGCAAGUUAGAUGGAAAGGUAACUAGGAGGAUGCUAUAUUAGCUAGUGUAGUAAAAACAGAAUUAUCAGAGAUACUUCCACUUUGAUAGGAAUAAUGCAACGAACAAAGCAAAGAAAAAAAAAAUCCGGGCCAGGUGCAGUGCUCACCUAUAAUCCUAGCACUUUGGGAGGCCAAGGUGGGCAGAUCAUUGAGGCCAGGAGUUUGACACCAGCCUGGCAAACAUGAUGAAAAUUCAUCUCUACUAAAAAUACAAAUAAAUCAGCUGGGCAUGGUGGCCCGCACCUAUAAUCCCAGCUACUCAAUGGCUGAGGUGGGAGAAUCAUUUGAAUAUGGGAAGUGGAGGUUGCAGAGAGUCAAGAUCACACCACUGCACUCCAGCCUGGGCAAGAGAGCAAGACCCUGUCUCAAAAAAAAAAAAAAAAAAAAAAAAAUCUGAAGGUGGAGUUACCAUCAUGAGAGAAUAUAAAUUACAAAGAUUCUAAGACUAGAACAACUUUAGUAUGGGCUGGGCAUAGUGGCUCACACCAGUUAUCCCAGCACUUUGGGAAGCUAAGGCAGGAGGAUCACUUGAGGCUAGAAUCCCAAAACCAGCCCAAGAAACAUGGUGAAACCCCAUCUCUACACACGCAAAAAAAGUUUUUAAUUACCUGGAUGUGGUGGUGUCCACCUGUAAUGCCAGCCACUCAGGACGCUGAGGCAAAAGGAUUGCUUGAGCCCAGGAGUUGGAGGCUGAAGUGAGCUAUUAUGGUACCACUGCAUUGUAGCCUGAGCUACAGAGUGAGAGGCCCAGUCUCUAAAAUUAAAAAAAAAAAAAAAAAAAAAAAAAAGUUGGCCAGGCGCAGUGGCUCACACCUGUAAUCCCAGCACUUUGGGAGGCCAAGGCGGGCAGAUCACAAGGUCAGGAGUUUGAGACCAGCCUGGCCAACAUGGUGAAACCCGGUCUCUACUAAAGAUACAAAAAAUUAGCCAGGCAUGGUGGCAGUCACCUGUAAUCCCAGCUACUUAGGAAGCUGAGGCAGGAGAAUCGCUUGAAACCUGAAGGCAGAGGUUGCAGUGAGCCGAGAUAGCUAUUGCAGUCCAGCCUGGGUGACAAGGCAAGACUCCAUUAAAAAAAAAAAAAAAAAAAAAAAAAAGUUUAUUACCAUCAGAGUGAACAGGCAACCUACAGAAUGGGAGAAAAUUUUUGCAAUCUACUCAUCUGACAAAGGGCUAAUAUCCAGAAUCUACAAUGAACUCCAACGAAUUUACAAGAAAAAAAAACCCCAUCAAAAAGUGGGCAAAGGAU
Molecule: long non-coding RNA, 7859 nt
Filed under: Homo sapiens (human)
Lineage: Eukaryota; Metazoa; Chordata; Mammalia; Primates; Hominidae
Description: non-protein coding lnc-ZNF131-4:9
Source: RNAcentral